UACGUAGGGUGCGAGCGUUAAUCGGAAUUACUGGGCGUAAAGCGUGCGCAGGCGGUCUUUUAAGCCAGAUGUGAAAUCCCCGGGCUUAACCUGGGAACUGCGUUUGGAACUGGAAGGCUAGAGUACGGCAGAGGGGGGUGGAAGUCCAAGUGUAGCAGUGAAAUGCGUAGAGAUGUGGAGGAACACCGAUGGCGAAGGCAGCCGCCUGGGCCUGUACUGACGCUCAUGCACGAAAGCGUGGGGAGCAAACAGG
This 253-nucleotide ribosomal RNA is filed under the name uncultured bacterium. RNAcentral describes it as "partial 16S ribosomal RNA". It matches the Rfam family "Bacterial small subunit ribosomal RNA", at positions 524 to 776 of the family's 1533-position model. The record is from RNAcentral.